Alosa sapidissima (American shad) is the source of this 633-nucleotide long non-coding RNA. RefSeq lists it as uncharacterized. Lineage: Eukaryota; Metazoa; Chordata; Actinopteri; Clupeiformes; Clupeidae. The record is from RefSeq and is a predicted model, not a curated record. The transcript has 4 exons.
GGGGUUGUUUAUGAUCAUGUAAUCAUUUUGAACACAUAUACUUCCAUUAACCUAACGUUACUGUGACUUUUUUUAAAUGUACACCUCAGAAUCCAGGCCACACUGACCAGAGACCUGCACUCCUUUGGAUGAAGAAGGCUACCCGUGUAUACAUGUGUGAACCAUUUCUUGUGUUGGAAAAACAGGAGACCUGAAGAGCUCUUGAUGCUUUUGGUUUGCCUCAUCCAUUAUGUCAGCAAAGAACAGGAGUGGGCAGGAAACAUGCGCUGUUGAAAACAUGGCCAACCAACUGGAGCACCCACAAGGCUCUUGUGAAGGAAGUCCACAAGCCUUUGUGCUUCAGGAUGGAUGGAAAGAACUCUUUGAUCAACCCCCACAGAGAGCUGAGAUGGCUAUCUUUUGGAGACACCCCCGGCUGGUAGUGCUGCUGAAACUGGUGGAGGCAACAAUGAAGCGGCAACAGAAAGAGAAGGCAGGUGGCAAAGGUUGCUGCUAUUGAAAAAUACUUUGAGAGUGAGUAUGUGUGCAUGUAUGUAGCUGGGUAGGUCAUGGUACAUGGUACAAAAAUACAGAAUUUAAAGCACUAGCACAACACUUAACUCACAACUCACAACGACUGACAAUGGAAUUACU